RNAcentral lists this ribosomal RNA (404 nucleotides) under Escherichia coli. RNAcentral's name for it is "bacterial SSU rRNA". It matches the Rfam family "Bacterial small subunit ribosomal RNA", at positions 1021 to 1426 of the family's 1533-position model. Lineage: Bacteria; Pseudomonadati; Pseudomonadota; Gammaproteobacteria; Enterobacterales; Enterobacteriaceae. The record is from RNAcentral.
CGGGGGCAGAGUGACAGGUGGUGCAUGGUUGUCGUCAGCUCGUGUCGUGAGAUGUUGGGUUAAGUCCCGCAACGAGCGCAACCCUUGAUCUUAGUUGCCAGCAUUCAGUUGGGCACUCUAAGGUGACUGCCGGUGACAAACCGGAGGAAGGUGGGGAUGACGUCAAAUCAUCAUGCCCCUUAUGACCUGGGCUACACACGUGCUACAAUGGACAGAACAAAGGGCAGCGAAACCGCGAGGUUAAGCCAAUCCCACAAAUCUGUUCUCAGUUCGGAUCGCAGUCUGCAACUCGACUGCGUGAAGCUGGAAUCGCUAGUAAUCGCGGAUCAGCAUGCCGCGGUGAAUACGUUCCCGGGCCUUGUACACACCGCCCGUCACACCACGAGAGUUUGUAACACCCGAAG